Molecule: long non-coding RNA, 6242 nt
Organism: Mustela erminea (ermine)
Lineage: Eukaryota; Metazoa; Chordata; Mammalia; Carnivora; Mustelidae
Exons: 4
Source: RefSeq, a predicted model, not a curated record
ACACACUUUUGGACUAGUCCUUCACUAAAAUAGCCCAGUGAGAAACAGUACUUUUUUUUUUUUUUUUCCUCUCAGUUGGUGACAUUGCAACCCGAAAUCACAACUCUGUUUUAGGUUCCUGGUGGUGCCUGCUUCCUCUUCUAGUUUGUUUAGUCACCGAAUUCGAUUCCUGUUGGCCGGUUACGCGCCUACAAACAGGCUUAGCGCUCUAUUGAAAUGCGUGAGGCUCCUUAACUCUUGUAUAAACAGAAAACAGCUGUAACUUUAGGUCAGGGCGCAUUAAAAUGAGCCACUUCUGAACGAGCGGCGCCCAGGCCCCAGGCCCUGCUGCGAAGGCCCCGGCAAAGGUCAGGGUUUCGGCCGCGUGACGUUCCUUCCUGCGGCCGUCCGAGCGCUGCUGUGCCUCAGCCCUGAUCUCCCUCAUGGUAAUGCUCUCCUUCCAACUCUGGUCUGUUUAGUGGGGGAAGAGGUGGUUUAUGAAAAGAUUUUUUUAAAAAGCGUCAGCUUCUGGAAAAGCAGAAAAUCCUACACAGUCAGCCCCGUCGUGUUCCUCUGCUGAUGAAACCUUUUCCAUAUCAGAAACAGAUUUUUUUUUUUUUCCACCCUUGAAAACACAUGACUGGGCCAUCCGGAGGCACAGGUGACUUUUAGAAGCAGAUGAUUAAAGUGAGGUUGAGGAAACAUUCCUGACCGGCAUCUGUCUCAUUUAAGUGUUAAGACGGGGUGGGGGGGGGGGAAUGAGGAGGGAUCUCUCCAAAGGUAACCCUGAGCGGAGGAGGCUUAGCUGCUUAAAGUUACAGAUUCAAUCUGCCUAAAAGUGUAGGGCUGAUGAAUUAUGACAGCUGACAAAUCACCAGUCACCGGGUAUUGAAGAAAUCAGUUAAAAUAAGCGAGGUGGAAUUUUUUUUUUUUUCAAAUAAAUGAUUCACUGUUUAAUUAGGUAAAAGUUCAUCUACUCUUGGAUACUGUCCCAAGACAUUUGGGGAUGUGGCUUCUUUCUUGAGGCUUAUCAGAGUGACAGAAAGAUAGUGUCCUCAAGGUACGUAGGGGCCAUCCUGGUUUUAAUGAAAAAUCAAGCAAUUUUUUUUUUCUGGUGGCCUCUGAAUGAGUCACUUUUUUGUCUUUAGCAAGAAUGCAGAUUAGAAAUGUGUUCUUUAUUUCUCCGACUUAUUUCAUUUAGCGAAAAAAAAAAUGUGUUCUUUAAAAGUUUUCAUGCUGGAGUCACACACAUUUUUCAGGGGAGAGAAAGCAAAGCGUUGACAAACCAAACAUGAAGUUUUAAGCACAGCUGCACGUAGACCAAGAGCAUUUGAGAACUGCAGGUGCCCAUUCGAUUCUAACAGGUGAAAGGUUGUCAGUGGCCAUGAGAGGCAAGAGAGAUAAGACUUUGUGGGAGUUUGUGUUGCUAUUAAUUUAAACAACGAUCUUGGUCAGAUUGGUGGUCUGGAAUCUUGGAGGGAAACAAAACCAACUCAGACUGAAAGGGAAACAGGAGGAGGAAGAGAAAGAAAUGGUUUUUGUAUCCAUUCUUGUCCGCCUUGCCCUUCAUUCAUCCUGUUCUGAUAUGGAUACCAUUGGCCUCUUCGUCUUAAUGACCACAUAUGGGAGAAUGAGGAAUCAGAAAUUUCACAAAAGCCUAGCUUCAUUAUUUAAGUUCAAGAUUUGUGAAAUGAGGAAAUAAGCAGAAGACAGCAAAGUGGUCAGCCUCCCUGUCCUGCUUCCAUACCUGACCAGGCUCUUCGUAAAUUCAUGUUUGAGAGGUUUUUUUGAGCAUAUGUGGCAAAUGAAUCAAAUUUGGAAGAUAUUUUAGCUUCCUCUUGGUUUAGGAGUUUUCUGAAACUUGUAGGAUUGAAAAUCUGGCGUCAUCAUUAUACUCCGUCCCUAUUGUUUUAAUAGUCAACAUAUUUGUUUUUCAUUCCCUCCUGCGCUGCUCUGGGCUAAAUUUUGAAAGGAUUUUGACCCAAAUGGUUGGUGACAUUGAAGAUAGACUCAAGAUGGAAAGCAAGGAAACUGCAUCUGGACCUGUGUCCUAUAGACUUGCUCUAACUCGUGUUUAAGACUACUCACUUUUUUUUUUUUUCCCCCUCACCUGAUAAGAACGUUCAGGUUAGACUGCUCACUUUGGUUUAUUAAUAAUGGAACCUGUUCUAGGUAAUGUAAACAUAGAUUAGAAGGUUAAAGUAGAUGAAAUUAUUAUUAUUAUUCUUAUUUUUACAAAAUGCGUUUGCUUUCCAAAUUCUAUUCUUGAUCUGAAGAUUAAGAUCAAGACUCCCAAAUGAUUGAGCUUUGACUGCUCUAGGAAAGUAUUCGCCUAUUUCAGGUAAGGAUUCCACCGUCACAUUUCCAGGCCCUUCUGAUUUUUCAGGAAUAGACAGGAAUAGAUACAGGGGUGCUGGUAGGACAAGAAGGGUCCCAAAAUUGGACACGAGGUUCAAGUGAAACUGAUUAGGUUUUCCCUGAGGACGCAUAAUCCUAGGGAAAAAAAAACUUACUCUGAAGAGGGCUUAAGUCUGGGAUUCAUAAGAUUUAAAAAAAAGAUGUGUUUUGCACUGAAUCUAGAAUUCAUGUGCCAGACAUUGAAGUUACAGGGAAAGACACAUGCAGCUUCAAAAGUGGUUGUCAGAGUGGUUCCAAGUUAAAGGUUAUUGGAAUGUUUCAACUGCUGGCCUGAUGAAGAGAUAUGUUUUUCCGCUUGGGAGUAGUUUCUGUGUCUUAUGAUGGUGCCGAUCUUCUGGUUUCGUGUCGUAAGAGGUACGUGUUAGUCAAACAACCACCUGCUUAGAGUAAUUGCUUCAAAGGAAACUGGAAAAAAGACUUUCAAGAAGGGCAGUGCAGGAAUGACUUGGGUUAUGAGGUAGGAGGCCCUUUACUUCUGCAAAGAACUGUCGUGAGAAUGACAAUAAGUAAUUGUUCAGUUGCCACCUGAGGUUGUUGGAAACGUCUCAGGCUAGAGGGAUUUAGGGGGAAAAUGGCGCCCUGCCACUUUUUGCGUGUGGUCUGAAACGUCCUGUCAGGAAGACUUUCCUGAGGUGGUCUGUGCUGGAUUUCUGACGGUUUCUGCUUCUCUCAUAGCUGCUUCCCCUUCAUUUCUGUCAGCAUCCGUAUGGGGGAGAAGAGACAGAGGGACAAAUAAUAAUGUCUCCCCUAGCACCCGAUGUGCCCCUUCUUUUUAGGAACUUUUAUAUUUUGUCCUGAAAAGGGGUGAGGGAGGAAUUUUCUGGUAAAAGUAGUGGGGAGAGGGUGUCUGGAGGCGUACGUGGCCGAGAAACAGGUGAAUUCCAAAUACUGUUAGUAAUGUGGAAUGCCCUGGAAAGCUCUGGGGAGAUUUAUUAAUGCCCUCAGACUGUUGAAGUGGUAACUGUAGGAUUUAGGGCUCACCCCCCACCCCCACCUUUUGUAAUUCAGAUGCUCUUUCUACUCUGUAAUAGAUGGCUAAUUCAGAAGGGUUCGAGAUAUUUUUCCUUGGUAGGACCCUCAGGAAACGGAUUACAAAAGGCAGACUCUCAACCCUGUUAACUGCCUUUUCUCUGCUUUCUGCCCUGGUUUAAGGACACCUAAAAAAAAAAAAAAAAAUCACAGCUCAGUUUAUGUAGCUUCUAUGUAUGAUAUGAGCAUUCUGUUUCGUUGUUGUGACUAUUCUGUUGGUGUCAUCGUGGGAACUUCGUUUGUGCAGAAAUGAUUCGUAGGUGUGUUUAGACGUAUGCAGUUUAUCCGUUUGUAAAAUACGAAACUUCAGUAAGCUGAUACUCCGCAAGAAUUGAGUAACAGUAGCGUACGGUUGUUCUUGGGAUAAACCCUAUCCUGUUGUAGGAGUGGAAUCAUUUUAGAAAUCAGAAGUACAAUCUCUACCUUUCUGAAGGCCAUUUAAGAGAGAUGACAUCAGGAGAGGAGGACAAAGGGCUGGCGUAACCCUGAAAACCCUCUGUGAUUUGGGCAAAGUGUCAGUCCUUUCAUCUCAGCAGAUGCCUGGGAGCACCAAGUACAUACUUGAUUUAUAAGUUACAGCCGUUCACAUUAAUCAAGAAGACUCGAGUCAUGCUGUUUGUCUUUGGGGAUACUGUACUUUUGUGGUUCUUAGGAACACGAUGGCCCAGUACCAGGAGCAAUGGUAGGUACCCCGUGUGUAUAUGUCGAACGGAACGGGAGUUGCUGAUAGUUGCAGCUUCCUCAUUGUGCUUUGCUUUGGUUAAGGGUCAGCUUGCCUCCUGUUCCUCCACCAGCUGGGGAGAAAGAGAGCGUGAUAAUUGGGUAAUCCAUACAUGGGCAAGCAGGGGUUAACUGUGUGUCCCAAUGGGCAGUGGUUGGGGUACAAUGAAUGUGGGGCAUUGUACCCUGAAGCAGGAACAGGAUGCCUCUCCACCUGACCAAGGAAAUGCCAACCUGUAAAAAUUAGAAUAAAAAUAUUUACCUUUCAGAGCGCCGAGAGCCAGCUCCAUGAUCUUUGUCUAGCAUUUCACGUUGUGCCAAAAGGAAAAAAAAAAAAGAUAUUUAAUAAAAUUAGAAUUUUUUUUCCAGGUGCUUCUUUGAGAUCAAUUUGGUUACAAUUCUGAAAAUCUUUAUUUGAGCCUUUCACGCUUAGGUCAAAUAUUCAUGUUUCUAAAAGUAAGGAUCCACGCGCAUGAUGAUAAUACUAUGAUUUUCGAAAAGAGAGCUUAAUUGAUAUUUCUUUCUGUUUGUUGUCAUUUAUUUUUAAAAAUAAUACCAUGGUCUUUGGUACAUACACCAAGGUCUUGCCAAGAUUAGGCUCAUCUUCUCAGUAGGCUUCCCAAGACAAAGUUGCCUUUGUGUGAUUGUAACAGGGAAGAUUUGGUGGCAUAGGAAACUCAAUGGGGAGUGCAACUUAUUAUUAACAGAAAAGUCAAUGGCCUGAUCUGUGCACGUGUGUGUGUGUGUGUGUGUGUGUGUUUACUCUCCCAGCCGGUAUCUAUGAUAUAUUUCUCCAUGCAGAUGAUCUCACCAUGGUAGACUUUCCCAGGGAGGAAUGUGGUGGUUAGGAAUUUUCCUUGGAGUUCAGUUAGAUUAGAGAAGACAAAAGCUGCCACAUGCUGACACAGAAGAGAGUUCAUCUCUGUGGACUAAUCUGUUCUCAAGGUGAUCAGCAAAAUUUGGGCACAUGUGGAAAGAAAGAAAAGGUGGUUAGCCAGAGUGAAAACACCAGUUUGAGGGGAAAGGGAUGACAGUGGCGCUAACUUCAAACUCCUUGGCAGAACAACUAGGAAUAUGGACUGCCUCGACUCACAUCCUGGAUGUGCCAUUUAGGAGCCAAGGGAAUUUAGGCGGUUACCUAAAAGCAAAACAAAACUAGAAAAACUCUCUCCGUGACUCAAUUUUCCUAGUUGUAAAAUGCCCACCUUACAGGGCUGUUGUAAGGAAUAACAAGAUUACUGUGUAAGCAGAGCUUGGUAUGGCGCUGGGCAUGAAGUCAACAUAAUAUGGCGCUGGGCAUGAAGUCAAUAUGGCGCUAGGCGUAAAGUCAGUAUAAUGUGGUGCAUAGUGAACGUGUUAGGUGUGUGUACCUUGUAUUUGUGAUGUAUUUCUGCAUUUGAAUUCUUAUCUCACCACCUUCCUUCACAUAAGUAUUUUCUUUCUUGACCUCUUCUGGGGGUUGGAAUCCAGGACUCCCUUCCUAACCUCAGUCUAUGGCUUUGACCAAGUGCCAGUUGCCUAUUUUGCUAAGUUACUAAGUUUGCUAAGGUGCUAUUUUGUUAAGUUGCAUUUUGUUUUUGUAUCUUAGUUGUGUGGGGAAAUGCUACUUAGAAUCCCCAAGGUACACUUUUUUCUCUCUCUAGGUAAUCGAAAGAUGUUGAUUGGAAACCAAAGGAAUAGUAACUGUUCUCUCUGUUGGUGAGAGACCAACAGGUGUCCUGCUGGAAGCUGAGUAUGGAUUCUCAGAAAUGGUGGGGCUCCUGGCUGGCUCAGUGGAUAGAGCAUGUAACUCUUGAUCUCGGGGUUGUAGGUUCAAGCUCCACAUUGGGUGUACAGGUUCCUUAAAAAAAUAAAAUCUCUAAAAAAAUAAAUUCUCAGAAAGGGCUAAUGCAAAAUAGAAAUACUCUGUGUAAAAAACCCAAAAUACAUCAGACUUAAGUAGUUACUAUUAUGACUUUCGUUGGUUAGUAUUAGCUAGUCAUAAUCAUAAUGUAUGAUAUGGGCCUUUCUUAGAACUACUGCAGUAGGGCAUCUGGGUGGCUCACUUGGUUAAGCAACUGCCUUCGGCUCGGGUCAUGAUCCUGGAGUCCCCAGAU